Molecule: unclassified non-coding RNA, 327 nt
Filed under: Nocardia transvalensis
Lineage: Bacteria; Bacillati; Actinomycetota; Actinomycetes; Mycobacteriales; Nocardiaceae
Description: 16S-23S ribosomal RNA intergenic spacer region
Source: RNAcentral
AAGGAGCACUUCUCCACGACGCCCCGAAGAGUCGGGAGCUGUUGUGGCAGAGACCGUUUCGGAAGCAUUCGUCUUCCGGCGGAAGCUCAUGGGUGGAACGCUGGCAGGUUUCAUCGCAUCAUGGUUCCGGCCGAGUCCGGGAUCGCGGUGGAUAUAUCGACACACUGUUGGGUCCUGAAAGAACACGCGUUCUUUCUAGGAAAUCAAAACGAUCCGCCCGGAUCUCCAGUGAUACCGCGGGAAUUGAGUUUUCCGUCUGGUCUUGGGUCAAGGUUUGGGUGGGUGUGUUGUUUGAGAACUGCACAGUGGACGCGAGCAUCUUUGUUU